This is a non-coding RNA of Sus scrofa (pig), 1350 nucleotides long. NCBI's taxonomy places the organism in Eukaryota, Metazoa, Chordata, Mammalia, Artiodactyla, Suidae. The record is from RefSeq and is a predicted model, not a curated record.
UUAUGUGCUAUUUUCCGUAGUAUUUUUCCAGUAGUACUUCUCCAAAUCAAGCUAGGGACAGUUCAGCUUCAAGUUUUAUUGACAUUUUUUGUGGGCAUGAAAUGCUUUUUUUAAUACCUUACUUUAACUCAUUUUGUGUAUUUCUAUGGGAUUCCUAUUUCUUUUCUGAAGAAAGGAGAAAAAGUCAUUAACUUAGAGAAGUUCAGACUUUUCAGAAGGUCAUGAAUCUGACAAGCCAGAAGCAAUGGAUCCUUCUCCAUCUGCCUUUUAUUUCCAGCACAUUUAUACAACCUUCAAGUCUUUGUUUUUCAAAUCUCAGGGAGAGCUACCCAUCCUGGAGUCAAUUGAUGGUUAUCAGGAAGGUGUUUUCAGCUAUUUUCAAAAUACCUUGCAUCUAUGGAACGUGUGUAUAUUUUUGGGUAAUGGCUACUGGACAUCUCCUUGCUUCCUGGUUAUGCCAGGAGUGCCUUUUUCCCUUCAGUACGAUUCCUUCAAACAUUUUGAUGCUUAGGAAGCUAAAUGAGAGAUGGAUUCCUGGGUCAAAGGCAUAUGAGCGUGUUUCCUCACUGGAGAAGCUGUUCAGGAAGGGCUGCAGGUAAAUGAAUUUCUCUUUCCGAACAAAUGUCAAUUCCAGACUAGCAUUGUGUGUUGAAAUGCUGCCCUGGGGAGAGAAGUGGAAGAAAGGAAUGUUAAAGAGGCUUCUUAGCUAAUGGCCUUAUGUGAGAAAUAGCAUACCAUUUCUCAAUCAAUGUCAUUUCCAAGUCGUGCAAGGAGAUUAUGUAUGGGGAGUGGUUAUCUGGCAAUUCAUACAUCAUUUGUAUCCACAUCUGCCCCCUGGGUUUGGUCAGAUGGAUUUAAUUUUAAAAAUAUCACUUUCACCUGCUCCUCUGCAGUUCGAUUGGCCUCCCACACUGAGGUUUUAUUUGUACUCAUGGAAUUACUGCAUUUGCUUCCUUAAAGCAGGGUAGAGGGGGAUAUUUGAACACAUAUCAUGGGACAUAAGGAAAUCAUAAGAAUUAGAGAUGGAAAGAAAAAUGAAAUUGAUCAUCUACCUGAAAAAAUUGGACUUCCAAUAUACUCUCAUCAAAAGGGGACACAGAAACCUAUCACUUCUAAAGGGCUUCCAGGUCAACUAAAUAUUCUUGAUGUUUAGCUCAUUAAAUAAAUGAAGUAUAACCACUUCAUAUUAAUAAAUAUACAUUUUUGAGUACUUACCUUGUACUAGGCAUGAUGGGCUUAAUCUGUACAUUACCAAAUUUGAUUUAAUCCUUGUAUCAACUCUAUAUGAUUGAUACUAUUAUCCUCAUUUUACAGAUGUGGAAUCUAAGGACCAGGAGAGGUUAAUAAUUU